This 1708-nucleotide ribosomal RNA is filed under the name Staphylococcus aureus. Its description in RNAcentral is "partial 23S ribosomal RNA". It matches the Rfam family "Bacterial large subunit ribosomal RNA", at positions 1218 to 2925 of the family's 2925-position model. Lineage: Bacteria; Bacillati; Bacillota; Bacilli; Caryophanales; Staphylococcaceae. The record is from RNAcentral.
UUGGACAAUGGUAGGAGAGCGUUCUAAGGGCGUUGAAGCAUGAUCGUAAGGACAUGUGGAGCGCUUAGAAGUGAGAAUGCCGGUGUGAGUAGCGAAAGACGGGUGAGAAUCCCGUCCACCGAUUGACUAAGGUUUCCAGAGGAAGGCUCGUCCGCUCUGGGUUAGUCGGGUCCUAAGCUGAGGCCGACAGGCGUAGGCGAUGGAUAACAGGUUGAUAUUCCUGUACCACCUAUAAUCGUUUUAAUCGAUGGGGGGACGCAGUAGGAUAGGCGAAGCGUGCGAUUGGAUUGCACGUCUAAGCAGUAAGGCUGAGUAUUAGGCAAAUCCGGUACUCAUUAAGGCUGAGCUGUGAUGGGGAGAAGACAUUGUGUCUUCGAGUCGUUGAUUUCACACUGCCGAGAAAAGCCUCUAGAUAGAAAAUAGGUGCCCGUACCGCAAACCGACACAGGUAGUCAAGAUGAGAAUUCUAAGGUGAGCGAGCGAACUCUCGUUAAGGAACUCGGCAAAAUGACCCCGUAACUUCGGGAGAAGGGGUGCUCUUUAGGGUUAACGCCCAGAAGAGCCGCAGUGAAUAGGCCCAAGCGACUGUUUAUCAAAAACACAGGUCUCUGCUAAACCGUAAGGUGAUGUAUAGGGGCUGACGCCUGCCCGGUGCUGGAAGGUUAAGAGGAGUGGUUAGCUUCUGCGAAGCUACGAAUCGAAGCCCCAGUAAACGGCGGCCGUAACUAUAACGGUCCUAAGGUAGCGAAAUUCCUUGUCGGGUAAGUUCCGACCCGCACGAAAGGCGUAACGAUUUGGGCACUGUCUCAACGAGAGACUCGGUGAAAUCAUAGUACCUGUGAAGAUGCAGGUUACCCGCGACAGGACGGAAAGACCCCGUGGAGCUUUACUGUAGCCUGAUAUUGAAAUUCGGCACAGCUUGUACAGGAUAGGUAGGAGCCUUUGAAACGUGAGCGCUAGCUUACGUGGAGGCGCUGGUGGGAUACUACCCUAGCUGUGUUGGCUUUCUAACCCGCACCACUUAUCGUGGUGGGAGACAGUGUCAGGCGGGCAGUUUGACUGGGGCGGUCGCCUCCUAAAAGGUAACGGAGGCGCUCAAAGGUUCCCUCAGAAUGGUUGGAAAUCAUUCAUAGAGUGUAAAGGCAUAAGGGAGCUUGACUGCGAGACCUACAAGUCGAGCAGGGUCGAAAGACGGACUUAGUGAUCCGGUGGUUCCGCAUGGAAGGGCCAUCGCUCAACGGAUAAAAGCUACCCCGGGGAUAACAGGCUUAUCUCCCCCAAGAGUUCACAUCGACGGGGAGGUUUGGCACCUCGAUGUCGGCUCAUCGCAUCCUGGGGCUGUAGUCGGUCCCAAGGGUUGGGCUGUUCGCCCAUUAAAGCGGUACGCGAGCUGGGUUCAGAACGUCGUGAGACAGUUCGGUCCCUAUCCGUCGUGGGCGUAGGAAAUUUGAGAGGAGCUGUCCUUAGUACGAGAGGACCGGGAUGGACAUACCUCUGGUGUACCAGUUGUCGUGCCAACGGCAUAGCUGGGUAGCUAUGUGUGGACGGGAUAAGUGCUGAAAGCAUCUAAGCAUGAAGCCCCCCUCAAGAUGAGAUUUCCCAACUUCGGUUAUAAGAUCCCUCAAAGAUGAUGAGGUUAAUAGGUUCGAGGUGGAAGCAUGGUGACAUGUGGAGCUGACGAAUACUAAUCGAUCGAAGACUUAAUCAA